Long non-coding RNA from Thunnus maccoyii (southern bluefin tuna), 557 nucleotides. RefSeq lists it as uncharacterized. The record is from RefSeq and is a predicted model, not a curated record. The transcript has 4 exons. NCBI's taxonomy places the organism in Eukaryota, Metazoa, Chordata, Actinopteri, Scombriformes, Scombridae.
AGACUUGAUAGAGACAAUUGGAAAGAAAGAUGAGUGGAGGCCAUAAAUCUUUAAUAUUGCCAUUACAUUGCUAACACCUACAUACUAAACCAGGCUUCACAUGGCACUUUGGUGCUAAAGAGCUAACAUGACAUCACGGAGCCUCUUUAAGUGACCCCUGUCUGUUUGUAACCUACCCAGGGCCCGAGGUCGGCCCUGGGUGUCCCUGUCAGUGUGGCUCCGGAUGGGUCAGGAAACGCUGGACUGCUCCCUCUGUGCUCCCCAACGACCCCUGAGGAUCCCGAGGUGGCAUUUCCCCUCCGAUUAGUGCUAAAAAUACUGAGGCAGCUCCAACAGCCAUGGCCCCUGGGUGAUCAUGAUGGAGGGGAGGAAGGAAGCAGCUUUUCCUGCCCUCCUCUCGCCUCGAUGGCACAGCGUAGCCCCAGGACACAGCUUAAAGGGAGAAACCAAAACUCUCACUAGGUAACAACUUUGAUCUGCCUUUACCAAACUGUCAGGACGUCGGAUGCUUUGAACUUUGGGGCCCACGGGCAUGAUGCAGUGGAGGAUGUCACCAA